CUCAAACUCUGCCCUGGGAGAGCUGGACCUUAGUAACAAUGACCUCCAGGAUUCAGGAGUGAAGCGCUGCUUUCUGGUGGACUGAAGAGCUGUAAGCUGGAAAUACUGAGAUUUUCCAUAUGUAAUCUCACUGCUCAUUCUUGUGGGAGUUUGUCAUCAGUUUUACAAUCCUCAAACUCUGUCCUGAGAGAGCUGGAUCUGAGUAACAAUGACCUGGAGGAUACAGGAGUGAAGCUUCUUUUCUGAUGGACUGAAGAGUCCAAACUGUCAGCUGGAGAUACUGAGGCUGUCUGGCUGUAUGGUGACAGAGGAAGGCUGUGGUUGUUUGUCUUCAGCUCUGAGUUCAAACCCCUCACACCUGAGAGAGCUGGAUCUGAGCUACAAUCACCCAGGAGAUUCAGGAGUCCAGCUGCUCUCUGAAAAACUGGAGGAUCCAAACUGCUCACUGGACAAACUCAAUGUGGCUCAUGGAGGACAGUUCAGGAUUACAGCAGGACCACGAAAA
Cyprinus carpio (common carp) is the source of this 505-nucleotide long non-coding RNA. RefSeq lists it as uncharacterized. The record is from RefSeq and is a predicted model, not a curated record. NCBI's taxonomy places the organism in Eukaryota, Metazoa, Chordata, Actinopteri, Cypriniformes, Cyprinidae. The transcript is spliced from 4 exons.